AAGUGUUUUCCGCUUCGGACCAUGCCUAAGUCCCUUGGAAAAGGGCAUCAUAGAGGGUGAUAAUCCCGUACAUGGCAUGGAGCGCCCGUAGCUUUGUGAUACGCUUUCUAAGAGUCGAGUUGUUUGGGAAUGCAUCUCAAAAUGGGUGGUAAAUGCCAUCUAAGGCUAAAUAUUGGGGAGAGACCGAUAGCGAACAAGUACAGUGAUGGAAAGAUGAAAAGAACUUUGAAAAGAGAGUUAAACAGUACGUGAAAUUGCCAAAAGGGAAGGGUAGGAGGUCAGAGAUGCGUCUUGGGAUUCAGCCUUGCUUUUGCAUGGUGUUUUUCCCAAGUUGCAGGCCAACGUCGGUUUUGGGCACUGGAGAAGGGUAGGAGGAACGUGGCACCUCUCGGGGUGUGUUAUAGCCUCCUACUGGAUACAGCGACCGAGACCGAGGAACGCAGCGUACUCGUAAGAGCGGGCCUUUUGGCACCUUUACGCUUAGGGCGUUGGCAUAAUGGCCCUCUACC
RNAcentral lists this ribosomal RNA (509 nucleotides) under Ustilago sp. DMKU-SP109. RNAcentral's name for it is "LSU rRNA". It matches the Rfam family "Eukaryotic large subunit ribosomal RNA", at positions 156 to 646 of the family's 3401-position model. The record is from RNAcentral. Lineage: Eukaryota; Fungi; Basidiomycota; Ustilaginomycetes; Ustilaginales; Ustilaginaceae.